Molecule: long non-coding RNA, 497 nt
Organism: Nicotiana tabacum (common tobacco)
Lineage: Eukaryota; Viridiplantae; Streptophyta; Magnoliopsida; Solanales; Solanaceae
Source: RefSeq, a predicted model, not a curated record
UUAAACAAUUUUAGUCAUUACGUUUAUCCACAAUGAACACUUUGGUUUCUAUUUUGUUUAAACACAUAACCGUUAUAUUUUACAUAAUUUGCAUAGGAAGCACAUAAGUGGCGCAAAUUAGCACGUGAAAAGCAUGUGUGAAACAAGGCAGCUCAAUUCCGACGAGAUCUGGAUUAGUUGCCGGCAUGUGGGAACCAUCAGACAUGUCUUCAAGCCUCUUAAGUCGUCACCCAGCAACUCCGGGCAGAUCUUUAACCAGAUCCAGGUACUUAUGAUUGAAUUGGUUGAAGAUUUAUAUCUGCACUGCUGGAGACUUCAAGGUAUACUUGUUCGACGUCCGCAGGGCCCGAAGUCACCUUGUGUUGUAUUUUAUUUCCAUUGUCUCCUAUUAUUCCGGAAAAAUGACUUACUCUUUAUUUAUAGUUACUCUUAGAAAGGCUUGUGACUUGUACUAUCGGUUUUGGGAUUAUGUAACUGAAGUUGGUUUGACUAUGUUG